CGUGAUACUGUGAACUAAACUUGCUAUUAUUUAUCUUUAUUUUUCUCUUGCUCCAGCAUAAAGCCAAGGUAGAAGCAAUGACCUUAGACCUUGCUUCUCUUCACAGUGUGCAGCACUUCGCUGAAGCAUUCAAGUCCAAGAAUGUGCCUCUUCACAUACUGAUCUGCAAUGCUGCCAUUUUUGGUGCUCCCUGGUGCUUGACAGAAGAUGACCUGGAGUCCACCUUCCAGGUGAAUCACUUGGGGCAUUUUUAUCUUGUUCAGCUCCUUGAAGACGUUCUACGCCAUUCAUCUCCUGCAAGAGUAGUUGUGGUAUCCUCAGAAUCACACAGAUUUACAGAAAUUAAAGACUCCUCUGGAAAACUUGACUUCAGCCUGCUUUCUCCACCUAAGAAGGAGUAUUGGGCUAUGCUGGCCUACAACCGUUCCAAGCUUUGCAAUAUACUGUUCUCCAACGAGCUGAACCGACGCCUUUCUCCCCACGGGGUGACGUCUAACGCCGUCCAUCCUGGAAACAUGAUGUACUCCUCGAUUCAUCGGAACUGGUGGGUGUAUACCCUGUUGUUUACCUUGGCUCGACCUUUCACCAAAUCCAUGGUAAGUGAAUGA
This 608-nucleotide long non-coding RNA is filed under the name Apteryx owenii (little spotted kiwi). RNAcentral describes it as "lncRNA (ENSAOWG00000005946.1)". Lineage: Eukaryota; Metazoa; Chordata; Aves; Apterygiformes; Apterygidae. The record is from RNAcentral.